AAGGUCUAGCCUGUUUGUGUUUGGAAGUUAAGGACGUGUGCACCAAAUUUUUCAUGCAAACCUGGUCUCCAUGGGUAUACAGAUCACAGAGGAGCACUCAGUUAUCAUUCAUGAUGAAUUGCAGAAAGGAAUUGGAUGAUUUUCACUUACCAGAAGCUGGGACUUGGCGCAGGAAGCCUGAGAGUCCAAAGGAGAUUGGUCCCAAGGCUUGCUGUAACACAGCUCCACUGGGAGAGUCCCCUGCUCAAAUUAAGCCUGCCUGUGAAACCUGAGAGGAAGUGUAAGGAACACACAUCAAAGUUGCUGGUGAACGCAGCAGGCCAGGCAGCAUCUAUAGGAAGAGGUACAGUCGACGUUUCAGGCCGAGACCCUUCGUCAGGACUAACUGAAGGAAGUGUAAGGACUGAGUGUUAAUGUUAUCGCAGAGUUUCAGACAUCUGUCAGCUAUUAAUAACAAUUAGUUACUGAGCUUUAAGUAAACCUACAACACAGAACAGUAGAGCACAGGAACAGGCCCUUCAGCCCAUGAUGACUGUGACAACCAGAACAUCAAAUUAAUCUAAACUGAACUAUCUGCACAGAAUCCAUAUCCUGAAUGGUCAUGUGCUUUUUCAAAUGUAUCUCAACUGUACUAUCAUGCUGAUUCACCACCACUCCUGCCAGUGCAUUCCAGGCACCCGUCACUCUCUGUAAUAAAUACCACCCACAAAUCUCCUUUGAAUGUUAUACCCCUCACCUUAAAUCUCUGUCCUUUUGGAUAUGACAUUUUACCCUGGGAAAAUGACUGACUGUCGACUCUGUCAAUAAC
Molecule: long non-coding RNA, 808 nt
Organism: Mobula hypostoma (lesser devil ray)
Lineage: Eukaryota; Metazoa; Chordata; Chondrichthyes; Myliobatiformes; Myliobatidae
Exons: 3
Source: RefSeq, a predicted model, not a curated record